This 253-nucleotide ribosomal RNA is filed under the name uncultured bacterium. Its description in RNAcentral is "partial 16S ribosomal RNA". It matches the Rfam family "Bacterial small subunit ribosomal RNA", at positions 524 to 776 of the family's 1533-position model. The record is from RNAcentral.
UACGUAGGGGGCAAGCGUUGUCCGGAUUUAUUGGGCGUAAAGAGCGUGUAGGCGGCUUUACAGGUCCGUUGUGAAAACUCGAGGCUCAACCUCGAGACGCCGGUGGAAACCGUAAGGCUAGAGUCCGGAAGAGGAGAGUGGAAUUCCUGGUGUAGCGGUGAAAUGCGCAGAUAUCAGGAGGAACGCCGGUGGCGAAGGCGGGUCUCUGGGCAGUAACUGACGCUGAGGAGCGAAAGCGUGGGGAGCGAACAGG